UGGGGAAUAUUGGACAAUGGGCGCAAGCCUGAUCCAGCCAUGCCGCGUGAGUGAUGAAGGCCCUAGGGUUGUAAAGCUCUUUUGUGCGGGAAGAUAAUGACUGUACCGCAAGAAUAAGCCCCGGCUAACUUCGUGCCAGCAGCCGCGGUAAUACGAAGGGGGCUAGCGUUGCUCGGAAUCACUGGGCGUAAAGGGUGCGUAGGCGGGUCUUUAAGUCAGGGGUGAAAUCCUGGAGCUCAACUCCAGAACUGCCUUUGAUACUGAAGAUCUUGAGUUCGGGAGAGGUGAGUGGAACUGCGAGUGUAGAGGUGAAAUUCGUAGAUAUUCGCAAGAACACCAGUGGCGAAGGCGGCUCACUGGCCCGAUACUGACGCUGAGGCACGAAAGCGUGGGGAGCAAACG
RNAcentral lists this ribosomal RNA (402 nucleotides) under uncultured bacterium. RNAcentral describes it as "bacterial SSU rRNA". It matches the Rfam family "Bacterial small subunit ribosomal RNA", at positions 355 to 774 of the family's 1533-position model. The record is from RNAcentral.